This 254-nucleotide ribosomal RNA is filed under the name uncultured bacterium. RNAcentral describes it as "partial 16S ribosomal RNA". It matches the Rfam family "Bacterial small subunit ribosomal RNA", at positions 524 to 777 of the family's 1533-position model. The record is from RNAcentral.
UACGGAGGGGGCUAGCGUUGUUCGGAAUUACUGGGCGUAAAGCGCACGUAGGCGGCUUUGUAAGUUAGAGGUGAAAGCCCAGGGCUUAACCCUGGAAUUGCCUUUAAGACUGCAUCGCUAGAAUCGUGGAGAGGUGAGUGGAAUUCCGAGUGUAGAGGUGAAAUUCGUAGAUAUUCGGAAGAACACCAGUGGCGAAGGCGACUCACUGGACACGUAUUGACGCUGAGGCACGAAGGCCAGGGGAGCAAACGGGG